GAUGGACGCUGGCGGCGUGCCUAACACAUGCAAGUCGAACGGACAUUUUUGGAAAGUUCUUCGGAACUGGAAUCUAAAUGUUAGUGGCGGACGGGUGAGUAACGCGUGAGCAAUCUGCCUUUCAGAGGGGGAUAACAGCCGGAAACGGCUGCUAAUACCGCAUGACGCAUGACCGGGGCAUCCCGGGCAUGUCAAAGAUUUUAUCGCUGGAAGAUGGCCUCGCGUCUGAUUAGCUAGUUGGCGGGGUAACGGCCCACCAAGGCGACGAUCAGUAGCCGGACUGAGAGGUUGACCGGCCACAUUGGGACUGAGAUACGGCCCAG
Molecule: ribosomal RNA, 323 nt
Filed under: uncultured bacterium
Lineage: Bacteria
Description: bacterial SSU rRNA
Rfam family: Bacterial small subunit ribosomal RNA
Source: RNAcentral